RNAcentral lists this transfer RNA (72 nucleotides) under Aedes aegypti (yellow fever mosquito). It matches the Rfam family "tRNA". From Rfam's summary of the family: Transfer RNA (tRNA) molecules are approximately 80 nucleotides in length. Lineage: Eukaryota; Metazoa; Arthropoda; Insecta; Diptera; Culicidae. The record is from Rfam by way of RNAcentral.
GGUUGGGUAGCUUAGUUGGUAAAGCGCUCGUCUAGCAUACAAGAGUCCUGGGUUCAAAUCCCAGCCGAGCAC